CAUAGCAAUUAGAGCGACGUAACUGUACGGCGGUUUCUUGCUGGCGGAAUCGCUGUUACUACCACUUGUAUUUCCUGUUCCAGUCGCUGUGGAGGACCCAUCUGCCGCUGUGGUAGGCGUCGAGGGUGUCGACGGUGUCGAAGGAUUGCUGUUCGUGGUGCUGUGAAGAGCUCCGCUCGGGGAUGAUCCUUUUUCAUCGAGGUGAUGAUGAGUGGAACCUGUGGAGUGCAUAGACACCGCAGAAUUCGGGCUGUGAAGACUAUGGUGAGAGUGAUGAUGACUCAGGGAGGCGUGGUGCGAUGUCAGCCCUCUCGCGAGGCUCACUGUGGAGUCCAGCUCCUUCGACACGCCGAUACAGCCAUUCUGCAUCUCUGAUACGAAGCUGCUUACUGAAAAUAUUACAAAAGAAUCUGCCAAUGACCAAGGAGUAUCUAAGUGAAGAAAAUAAAGCAACAUUUUUGGUAAUUUUCUGAAGAGAGCAGGAGUUAAUAAGAGAAGGCGAAAAGAGAGGCUAGAUGAUUUUCAUUCGAGACACGGUUUCCAAGAAAUUGGACAAUGGAACUGGCUCGAUCGAUCUACGUACAGGCACGACUUCCAAGAAAUCUCAGUCGGGGUAAAACAAUUGGACCUUUGAAAGGAAUUCGCUGGGCGACACUCGAGCCUCGACGAUAAAAGUUGUUUGAAGAAAUGAUCAUCCAAGGUGCACUGCGUGCCCUUGAGUAAAAAUUACGUCAUUUUCUCUUUCACCGUAAACGUAUUUAUAUCUACUUCAUUGACAAGAAUCAUGGUUGCUACCAGAUUACAUUUACCAUUGUAUAAAUCAUAUCGUGCGAAUCGCAUGACUGAGUGCCAGAGGCCUCUGUGAUGGAAGAAAAUUGAGUGAAAAACACGGAGACAUGAGUCAGGAAAGGAGUGCGUACGUGCAUGGUGUCGAAUAUUCACCGGUGCCCCGCGGCACAUGUAACUGAAACCGUAAUUAGACACCGAUAAGUUAAGCACGCCGCACUUGCGCAACAAAGAGGAUAAAGCGGGUAACAGAGAAGCUCUGAACAAAAGGAAAAACAGCGGAGUAUGAAUUUUCGCAAAUUCAAUCGGAUCGAUUUCAAGAAGAGAAAGAACGACGAACGGAAUAUUCGAAAUUAAGUUAAAAAAUGGUUUGUUCAAUUUACUUCGGUCCAUUGUAGCCUGCAGUAAAUGAUCGAUUACAUUGUUAUCGGAACCACUAGGAACGGGAACAUCUGUUCCCAGGCUAUGCAAAUCCAGGCAAAUAUGAUAUGCCACUAACGCAGACCUCCAGGGCGUAUGAUUUUCAGCGCGGAGAAGCUUCUUCGUUCGGGACACAAUGAUGUUUCCAUAGCAGGAACAUG
Molecule: unclassified non-coding RNA, 1367 nt
Filed under: Bombus terrestris (buff-tailed bumblebee)
Lineage: Eukaryota; Metazoa; Arthropoda; Insecta; Hymenoptera; Apidae
Description: misc RNA ENSBTSG00005023188.1
Source: RNAcentral